AAGUCGUAACAAGGUUUCCGUAGGUGAACCUGCGGAAGGAUCAUUAUCACGUUGCAAAACACUUAUCAACCUUGCGUGCACUCGGUUCCUUCAGAAUGAUUUAUGGGUUUGGGUGGUUUUGGGUUGUUUGUUGAAGUGGUUUGGAACACCCGCCAUCUUUGGUUUCACAGUCUUCUGACUGUUUGACCAGCCCUGUUCUGAAGAGCUGUUUUUUUGCGGUACCACCUCAGCCGCGUCUUGUUUCACCUUUUUUCCUUUUUAAACCCCUGUACGAUUAAUGAACUGAUUUGGUUCUUUUGUCUGGUCAUUCAGUUGAUCUAGCGAAAGAAUUCACUUACAAAAACAUCAAAACAACUCUUAACAACGGAUAUCUUGGUUCCCG
RNAcentral lists this unclassified non-coding RNA (382 nucleotides) under fungal sp. RNAcentral's name for it is "partial internal transcribed spacer region". The stretch from base 1 to 46 matches the Rfam family "Eukaryotic small subunit ribosomal RNA", at positions 1786 to 1831 of the family's 1831-position model. Lineage: Eukaryota; Fungi. The record is from RNAcentral.